This 497-nucleotide ribosomal RNA is filed under the name uncultured bacterium. RNAcentral describes it as "partial 16S ribosomal RNA". It matches the Rfam family "Bacterial small subunit ribosomal RNA", at positions 28 to 507 of the family's 1533-position model. The record is from RNAcentral.
GAUGAACGCUGGCGGCGUGCCUAAUACAUGCAAGUCGAGCGAACAGAUAAGGAGCUUGCUCCUUUGACGUUAGCGGCGGACGGGUGAGUAACACGUGGGUAACCUACCUAUAAGACUGGAACAACUCCGGGAAACCGGGGCUAAUGCCGGAUAACAUUUAGAACCGCAUGGUUCUAAAGUGAAAGAUGGUUUUGCUAUCACUUAUAGAUGGACCCGCGCCGUAUUAGCUAGUUGGUAAGGUAACGGCUUACCAAGGCAACGAUACGUAGCCGACCUGAGAGGGUGAUCGGCCACACUGGAACUGAGACACGGUCCAGACUCCUACGGGAGGCAGCAGUAGGGAAUCUUCCGCAAUGGGCGAAAGCCUGACGGAGCAACGCCGCGUGAGUGAUGAAGGUCUUCGGAUCGUAAAACUCUGUUAUUAGGGAAGAACAAAUGUGUAAGUAACUGUGCACGUCUUGACGGUACCUAAUCAGAAAGCCACGGCUAACUACGUG